This 468-nucleotide ribosomal RNA is filed under the name uncultured bacterium. RNAcentral describes it as "partial 16S ribosomal RNA". It matches the Rfam family "Bacterial small subunit ribosomal RNA", at positions 28 to 507 of the family's 1533-position model. The record is from RNAcentral.
GACGAACGCUGGCGGCGUGCUUAACACAUGCAAGUCGAACGGAAAGGCCCUGCUUUUGUGGGGUGCUCGAGUGGCGAACGGGUGAGUAACACGUGAGUAACCUGCCCUUGACUUUGGGAUAACUUCAGGAAACUGGGGCUAAUACCGGAUAGGAGCUCCUGCUGCAUGGUGGGGGUUGGAAAGUUUCGGCGGUUGGGGAUGGACUCGCGGCUUAUCAGCUUGUUGGUGGAGUAGUGGCUUACCAAGGCUUUGACGGGUAGCCGGCCUGAGAGGGGGACCGGCCACCUGGGGACUGCGGUACGGCCCAGACUCGUACGGGAGGCAGCAGUGGGGAAUAUUGCACAAUGGGCGGAAGCCUGAUGCAGCAGCGCCGCGUGCGGGAUGACGGCCUUCGGGUUGUAAACCGCUUUCGCCUGUGACGAAGCGUGAGUGACGGUAAUGGGUAAAGAAGCACCGGCUAACUACGUG